UACAGAGGUGGCAAGCGUUGUUCGGAAUUACUGGGCGUAAAGGGCGCGUAGGCGGUUCGGUAAGUCCUGUGUGAAAUCCCUCGGCUCAACUGAGGAACUGCACGGGAGACUGCCAGGCUUGAGUUCGGGAGAGGGAAGCGGAAUUCCGGGUGUAGCGGUGAAAUGCGUAGAUAUCCGGAGGAACACCGGUGGCGAAGGCGGCUUCCUGGACCGACACUGACGCUGAGGCGCGAAAGCUAGGGGAGCAAACGGG
RNAcentral lists this ribosomal RNA (253 nucleotides) under uncultured bacterium. Its description in RNAcentral is "partial 16S ribosomal RNA". It matches the Rfam family "Bacterial small subunit ribosomal RNA", at positions 524 to 776 of the family's 1533-position model. The record is from RNAcentral.